CUGGGUGUGGUGCAGUGGGAGCACGCCAGUUCCCUGAACUGGCGGUCGUAGGUUCAAACCCUACCACUCAGACCA
This 75-nucleotide transfer RNA is filed under the name uncultured Leptolyngbya sp. RNAcentral's name for it is "tRNA-Arg-CCT". It matches the Rfam family "tRNA". Rfam says of the family: Transfer RNA (tRNA) molecules are approximately 80 nucleotides in length. Their secondary structure includes four short double-helical elements and three loops (D, anti-codon, and T loops). Lineage: Bacteria; Bacillati; Cyanobacteriota; Cyanophyceae; Leptolyngbyales; Leptolyngbyaceae. The record is from RNAcentral.